Camarhynchus parvulus is the source of this 791-nucleotide long non-coding RNA. RefSeq lists it as uncharacterized. NCBI's taxonomy places the organism in Eukaryota, Metazoa, Chordata, Aves, Passeriformes, Thraupidae. The transcript has 5 exons. The record is from RefSeq and is a predicted model, not a curated record.
UUUCAGCGCUGGCCAUGCAGCACAUGGACCUGAAGCAGGUGGAGCUGGACUCGGCCGUGGCCAAGGUGGACGAGCUCUCCCGCCAGCUCGAGUCCCUCUGGACGGACGGGCCCGGACCCCCCCACAAAGAGCAGAGCAGCCCCGGCCGGAGCCGCUCGAGCCGCCGCAGCCUCCUGGGGGACGCGCUGGAAUUGGGGGGGGGUCUCGGGGACCCUUUGGGGCGACCCCCGCCCCAUUUCCUGGGCGGGGGGGCGGAGCUGGAACGCGCCCCCUCCCCCCGGCCCAAGGUGCUGGCCGUGCCCAGCCCCGGCGGGGGGGGAGGGGGCGGCAGAGCCCCCUCCCCACGGCCCCCUCCUCCUGCGGCCCUUGGAGCUGCUGGGGGGGCUCGGGGGGUCCCCGGGGGGGGCGUUCGGCACCGAGAGACCCCCGGCCCCCCCCCCGUACGAGGUGCAGGCGCUGUACCCGUCCCUGAGCGGCCCCCCCGGAACGUUCCGGACACAGGAUGACCUCGGCAUCAAGCGGCGGCCGCAGAAAAGUUGGAACGAGUCCGACCUGGACGUGGCCUACGAGAAAAAACCGGGGGGCUACGACCGGACCCCCGAGCCCCACGGCCGCCCCUCGCUGGGGCUCUGGAGGGAAUCCAGCCUCGACUCCGGCAAGGACGGCUCCUUCGGCGCUCACAGCGCCACCCUGCCGCGCAAUUACAAGCCGUCCGCCCUGGAGCGGCGGCCGGACGGGGGGGCCCCGCCGCUGUUCCGCUCGCCGCCGCUGUCGCGGACGCUGCCGCGGGG